This 500-nucleotide ribosomal RNA is filed under the name uncultured bacterium. RNAcentral's name for it is "partial 16S ribosomal RNA". It matches the Rfam family "Bacterial small subunit ribosomal RNA", at positions 30 to 523 of the family's 1533-position model. The record is from RNAcentral.
AUUGAACGCUGGCGGAAUGCUUUACACAUGCAAGUCGAACGGCAGCACGGACUUCGGUCUGGUGGCGAGUGGCGAACGGGUGAGUAAUGUAUCGGAACGUGCCCAGUCGUGGGGGAUAACGUAGUGAAAAUUACGCUAAUACCGCAUACGAUCUAUGGAUGAAAGAGGGGGAUCGCAAGACCUCGCGCGAUUGGAGCGGCCGAUAUCAGAUUAGGUAGUUGGGGGGGUAAAGGCCCACCAAGCCAACGAUCUGUAGCUGGUCUGAGAGGACGACCAGCCACACUGGAACUGAGACACGGUCCAGACUCCUACGGGAGGCAGCAGUGGGGAAUUUAGGACAAUGGGCGAAAGCCUGAUCCAGCCAUUCCACUUGCAGGAUGAAGGCCCUCGUGUUUUAAACUGCUUUUGUACAGAACGAAAAGGUUUCUACUAAUACUAGGAGCUCAUGACGGUACUGUAAGAAUAAGCACCGGCUAACUACGUGCCAGCAGCCGCCGUAA